RNAcentral lists this transfer RNA (71 nucleotides) under Marmota monax (woodchuck). RNAcentral describes it as "tRNA.Val". The record is from RNAcentral. Lineage: Eukaryota; Metazoa; Chordata; Mammalia; Rodentia; Sciuridae.
GGGGCUGUAGCUCAGUGGUACAGUACUCGCCUUACCUGUGUGAGGCACUGGGUUCGAUCCUCAGCACCACA